GAUGAACGCUGGCGGCGUGCCUAAUACAUGCAAGUCGAGCGAACGGACGAGAAGCUUGCUUCUCUGAUGUUAGCGGCGGACGGGUGAGUAACACGUGGAUAACCUACCUAUAAGACUGGGAAAACUUCGGGAAACCGUAGCUAAUACCGGAGAAUAUUUUGAACCGCAUGGUUCAAAAGUGAAAGACGGUCUUGCUGUCACUUAUAGAUGGAUCCGCGCUGCAUUAGCUAGUUGGUAAGGUAACGGCUUACCAAGGCAACGAUGCAUAGCCGACCUGAGAGGGUGAUCGGCCACACUGGAACUGAGACACGGUCCAGACUCCUACGGGAGGCAGCAGUAGGGAAUCUUCCGCAAUGGGCGAAAGCCUGACGGAGCAACGCCGCGUGAGUGAUGAAGGUCUUCGGAUCGUAAAACUCUGUUAUUAGGGAAGAACAUAUGUGUAAGUAACUGUGCACAUCUUGACGGUACCUAAUCAGAAAGCCACGGCUAACUACGUG
This 497-nucleotide ribosomal RNA is filed under the name uncultured bacterium. RNAcentral describes it as "partial 16S ribosomal RNA". It matches the Rfam family "Bacterial small subunit ribosomal RNA", at positions 28 to 507 of the family's 1533-position model. The record is from RNAcentral.